Long non-coding RNA from Odocoileus virginianus texanus, 373 nucleotides. RefSeq lists it as uncharacterized. Lineage: Eukaryota; Metazoa; Chordata; Mammalia; Artiodactyla; Cervidae. The record is from RefSeq and is a predicted model, not a curated record.
AGAAAGAGAAGAGUUAUUUGAACAGGUUCAAAAAUUGGACUUCUCACCCAGUUUCACUUAUACUCAACACAUCCAGGAUGCCUGGAUGCAAAGUUGCUGUUCCCUACUGUCCCCUGCUGGUAGUAAGGGGGAAGCGUGAUCCUUCCUCUGCUGGAGGAAGCAGUGUGUCUGUCCUUCAUUUGCACAGAGGACAGGAGUUGUGGGCAAGGCAGUAACAGGGGAGCUUGGAUGAUUCCUUGGAGUUUUCCCUGCCAGUUCACUUGUUUCUGCAUCCUUUCUUCAAAGACCGGAAAAUCCAGAAGUUGGAAAAACAAAGAUUACCAUUUACUUACUGAAAAUGAAGGAGACACUAGAGGAUCUUUUGAUAUUUUUU